CUCUCCCUCUCUUCAAUUGUAUUAGGGUUUUGUAUCUUUCAUGGUCUGAUUAAAUCACGUUUAAUGGUGUGAUAUUUUAGCAUUAUUUUGUUGCUUAUUUAACCUGUUCAUAUGCUUGCUGCAUUUCAUUUGAUAUGCUAUCCGUUGUCGUUGGUAGAAAUAUGGUGUCAGGUGUGCGUCUGUAAUAUUUACAACGUUGCGCUCUGUGAAUACGUUACCUUGGAUGAUUUAACCUUCUUUGGAUGCUCUCUGUGGAAAACAGUUUGAUAUAAACAUACAUGAAUAUGAUUUGAUUCUAUGGCACUCGAUCAUACCAAUGGGGAUGUAAAAUGGUGGGCAGAGAAGGCCUAUUUCCUGUUGCUCAUCUGCUUUAACUAAAUGCAUAUGAGAAAGCCGUUUCUGCCAUCGGGAAGAUGAAAUCACCAAUACUAGUUGCAUAGCAUCAAUGUGGCAUUUUAAGUUUGUGAAUUAGGAUCCACCAAUUGAAACUCCCUGUAUAUAAAUUCAACUAUGCCAGAGUCCGGCACAAGUUUCUCUGUCUUGGCUAUUUGAUUUUUAGGAAAGAGCUUCUCAUCUAAUGAUCUUCAUUUGAGAGUAGGGGCAUGUUACCUUUGUAUUUUAGCUAUCACUUCAAUAUUUAUGUCUAACAAUCUCAGGUACGACUUUAUUGAAAACUUGUUUUUUGGCUUCCAUAAUUUUCAAUCAAUAUAUGAUGAUUGAAAUAAUCUAAUACUUUUAUUAUUUUGUAUCAUGCCAUUCAUGCGCAUUUAUUUUCUUCAUAACUCUUUAUUAUGGUGUUGAUUUGUAGCUUAUUUGGAUGCUGCAUGUCAUCUUUCUCACUAAUGUAGGCAGCCAAUGCAAUGGGAAAUGCACUUUUUUAUGUCAUACUUAUUUCAAUAGCUCUACAUUUGCUUGUUUAAGUUGUAUCGUUUUCCAUUUACAUGCUUGAAUUGUUGGUAGCUCAUAUGAACAUAUUUCUUUUAGGCAGUCUCACGUUAGGAAUAUUAGUAACCCACACAGUUCUUAUUCUCAAUAAAAUUUUGUUUACCAAUAAAAAAAAUAAAAAAAUAACCCACAGAGUGGGUAGGUUAUAAAGUUAGUCAUGGGUAUUAAGUCCUACAUCAGCUACUUAUUGUGUGAAAAUGGGCUUCAUAAGUGAUUUUAGGGAAGUUUCAAAUUAAAUAGUCUUGGGGUAAGAGAAAAUUGAAAGAACCCUCUCACCCUAGAAAACUCUUAGUAAACCAUAAUUUUUCCCAAAUGUUUUUUAAGAAAAUACAUGCAUUCAAGUUUUUGCUGAAACUCAAAAUGAGCCUUAAAUCUUUCUUACAACUUUGAACCCCAAAAAUUUUAAAAUCCAUCAUAUACCACAACCCCCCCC
Juglans microcarpa x Juglans regia is the source of this 1378-nucleotide long non-coding RNA. RefSeq lists it as uncharacterized. NCBI's taxonomy places the organism in Eukaryota, Viridiplantae, Streptophyta, Magnoliopsida, Fagales, Juglandaceae. The record is from RefSeq and is a predicted model, not a curated record. The transcript has 2 exons.